GAUGAAACUUAGACACAGCACUCAGUUUCCAGGGAAGUUAGGCAGAUGGAAAUUGUCAACUGUGAAAGGGAUGAGAGAUGGGACUUCUUAUUGAAGAAGGGGAGGGGCCUCAUAAGUUCCUGGACUUUGCUAAGUCAUGAUUGGAGAAGUGGCAGACCUCUCCUUUUGGUAUCUGAGGGAGGCAGUAGCAUUUUGGCUGAGUAGGUCAAGUCCCUUUGGAGGCAAUGGUCUGAGCAGGGUCAGCAGGAAGGGAUAGUUCUUUCCCCACAUACUGAUGGCAUCUGCCCAGGCUUAGUGGGCUGGGACUCCUCAGAUUACCUUCUCAUGCUGCCAGCUCCCUCACCUCAGCUGGCAUUGAAAUUCUUGAGUUGCCCUCAGCAGGAAGUCCUGGGGGAGGGAGGCGUCACAAGCACACAUUCAGGUUACUCUCUUUAUAGAAUUCGUCUCAGAAUUGUUUGAGUUUGCAAUGAAAUAAUGUUGCACACAAUAUAUCCAGUACUUCCUCUGAUAUUAUUGCUGCCAUCUGCGUCUCUGUCUUGUGCUGGAUCUAGAUAGACAUGGUAUCUGAGGCUUCCUCGCUAGGUUCCCAGUGUGGCCUGGCCUUGAUUAAGGUGUCAACAAAUAUUGUGUAGGUGGAUGAUGGCUCUUUCUUUCUUUUUUUCUUUUGUAGAAAAUAAAAAGCCAGGUGAAGGCUCCAAGGGCCACAAGAAGCCUGCAAAGCAAAAUGGGAAGAAAGCAGCCUCCAAAGUACCCUCUGCACCUCAUUUGGUUCACUGCAAUGGUCAUGCCAAUCGAGAGGCUGAAUUGAAGAAGAAGAGGGUUAAGGAGAUGAGGGAAUUGCAGCAAGCUGCCCGGGAGCAAGAAAGACAAAAACGCAGGACCAUGGAGAGCUACUGUCAGGAUGUCCUGAGACGCCAGGAGGAGUUUGAGCAUAAGGAGGAAGUUUUGCAGGAAUUAAAUAUGUUUCCUCAGCUGGAUGACGAGGCCACGAGGAAGGCUUAUUACAAGGAAUUCCGUAAGGUGGUGGAAUACUCUGAUGUGAUUCUGGAGGUCCUAGAUGCCAGAGACCCAUUAGGCUGCCGCUGCUUCCAAAUGGAGGAGGCUGUCUUGCGAGCCCAAGGCAACAAGAAGCUGGUCCUGGUCUUGAACAAGAUUGACCUGGUCCCCAAGGAGGUUGUGGAGAAAUGGCUGGAUUACCUUCGGAAUGAGUUGCCAACCGUGGCUUUCAAGGCCAGUACCCAGCAUCAGGUCAAAAACCUGAAUCGUUGCAGUGUACCAGUAGAUCAGGCCUCUGAGUCAAUGCUGAAAAGCAAAGCCUGCUUUGGAGCUGAAAACCUCAUGAGGGUUCUGGGGAACUAUUGCCGCCUUGGUGCAGUGCGCACCCACAUUCGUGUGGGCGUUGUGGGUCUUCCCAAUGUUGGGAAGAGCAGCCUGAUCAAUAGCCUGAAGCGCAGCCGCGCAUGCAGCGUGGGAGCCGUUCCUGGGAUUACCAAAUUCAUGCAGGAGGUCCACCUGGACAAGUUCAUCCGGCUGCUGGAUGCUCCAGGCAUUGUCCCAGGGCCCAACUCUGAGGUGGGCACCAUCCUGCGUAACUGCGUCCACGUGCAGAAGCUGGCAGACCCUGUGACCCCGGUGGAGACCAUCCUGCAGCGCUGCAACCUGGAGGAGAUUUCCAACUACUAUGGCAUCUCUGGGUUCCAGACCACUGAGCACUUUCUCACGGCAGUGGCCCACCGUUUGGGGAAGAAGAAGAAGGGAGGCGUAUACAGUCAGGAACAGGCAGCCAAAGCUGUCCUAGCUGACUGGGUCAGCGGGAAGAUCAGCUUCUAUAUACCACCACCACCUACUCACACUCUGCCCGCCCAUCUCAGUGCGGAGAUCGUUAAGGAAAUGACCGAGGUCUUUGACAUCGAGGAUACUGAGCAGGCCAAUGAAGACACCAUGGAAUGCUUGGCCACUGGAGAAUCUGAUGAGCUGUUGGGUGACACGGACCCACUUGAAAUGGAGAUCAAGUUGCUCCAUUCUCCGAUGACGAAAAUAGCAGAUGCCAUUGAAAAUAAAACCACCGUGUAUAAGAUUGGAGAUCUCACUGGGUAUUGCACCAAUCCGAACCGUCAUCAGAUGGGGUGGGCUAAACGCAAUGUGAACCACCACCCUAAGAACAACAAUAUGGUGGAUGUCUGCUCAGUGGACCGCCGCCCAGUGCUGCAGAGGAUCAUGGAGACGGAUCCCCUGCAACAGGGCCAGGCUCUGGCAUCCGCCCUGAAGAAUAAGAAGAAGAUGCAGAAACGUGCAGAUAAAAUCGCCAGCAAGCUGUCUGAUUCCAUGAUGUCUGCUCUCGACCUCUCUGCCAAUGGUGAUGAUGGUGUUGGUGACUAAUCGACUGAUCUCACUUCCCUUCCGCUCCAAGCGCCAGUUCCAGUGGUACGGGGGGAAUGCCAAUGAGAUAGUUUGGUUCUCCCUGAAGAGUCCCAAGGGGCUGCAGCUGCCAAAUCCAGUACCCUCUAUUUAACACCUAUUCUGUUUUAUAAGAGAAAUAAAAGAAAUCUCAGCAGA
Molecule: RNA transcript, 2556 nt
Organism: Sapajus apella (tufted capuchin)
Lineage: Eukaryota; Metazoa; Chordata; Mammalia; Primates; Cebidae
Gene: GNL3L
Gene name: G protein nucleolar 3 like
Exons: 17
Source: RefSeq, a predicted model, not a curated record